Molecule: ribosomal RNA, 380 nt
Filed under: Clostridioides difficile
Lineage: Bacteria; Bacillati; Bacillota; Clostridia; Peptostreptococcales; Peptostreptococcaceae
Description: bacterial LSU rRNA
Rfam family: Bacterial large subunit ribosomal RNA
Source: RNAcentral
UCAGGUGGCCGCAGAGAAUAGGCCCAAGCGACUGUUUACCAAAAACAUAGGUUUCUGCUAAGUCGCAAGACGAUGUAUAGGAGCUGACGCCUGCCCGGUGCUGGAAGGUUAAGGGGAUCUGUUAGAGCAAUCGAAGCAGUGAACGUAAGCCCCAGUAAACGGCGGCCGUAACUAUAACGGUCCUAAGGUAGCGAAAUUCCUGGUCGGGUAAGUUCCGACCCGCACGAAAGGCGUAACGAUUUGGGCACUGUCUCAACAACAGACUCGGUGAAAUUGUAAUUCCGGUGAAGAUGCCGGAUACCUGCGACAGGACGGAAAGACCCCAUGGAGCUUUACUGUAGCUUGACAUUGGGUCUUGGUACUACAUGUACAGGAUAGGU